Molecule: ribosomal RNA, 253 nt
Filed under: uncultured bacterium
Lineage: Bacteria
Description: partial 16S ribosomal RNA
Rfam family: Bacterial small subunit ribosomal RNA
Source: RNAcentral
UACGAAGGGGGCGAGCGUUGCUCGGAAUCACUGGGCGUAAAGCGCACGUAGGCGGAUUGUUAAGUCAGGGGUGAAAUCCUGGAGCUCAACUCCAGAACUGCCUUUGAUACUGGCGAUCUCGAGUCCGGGAGAGGUGAGUGGAACUGCGAGUGUAGAGGUGAAAUUCGUAGAUAUUCGCAAGAACACCAGUGGCGAAGGCGGCUCACUGGCCCGGUACUGACGCUGAGGUGCGAAAGCGUGGGGAGCAAACAGG